UGUAUCUGAAGCCUGGCGAGGAUGAGAACCUCCGGGGGCAAGAGGUUCGACCCGAGCGAAGCGAGAGAACGUUGCGUCAGCAACGGCCCGCAGGGCGAGCCAUCCUCUAUCACCGGCAG
RNAcentral lists this small RNA (119 nucleotides) under Salmonella enterica. RNAcentral describes it as "RtT sRNA". It matches the Rfam family "RtT RNA". Rfam says of the family: This family represents a bacterial cis-regulatory element known as RtT RNA. The exact function of RtT is unknown although it is thought that it may be involved in changing the cellular response in relation to amino acid starvation. The record is from RNAcentral. Lineage: Bacteria; Pseudomonadati; Pseudomonadota; Gammaproteobacteria; Enterobacterales; Enterobacteriaceae.